UUAAGCGACUAAGCGUACACGGUGGAUGCCCUGGCAGUCAGAGGCGAUGAAGGACGUGCUAAUCUGCGAUAAGCGUCGGUAAGGUGAUAUGAACCGUUAUAACCGGCGAUUUCCGAAUGGGGAAACCCAGUGUGUUUCGACACACUAUCAUUAACUGAAUCCAUAGGUUAAUGAGGCGAACCGGGGGAACUGAAACAUCUAAGUACCCCGAGGAAAAGAAAUCAACCGAGAUUCCCCCAGUAGCGGCGAGCGAACGGGGAGCAGCCCAGAGCCUGAAUCAGUGUGUGUGUUAGUGGAAGCGUCUGGAAAGGCGCGCGAUACAGGGUGACAGCCCCGUACACAAAAAUGCACAUGCUGUGAGCUCGAUGAGUAGGGCGGGACACGUGGUAUCCUGUCUGAAUAUGGGGGGACCAUCCUCCAAGGCUAAAUACUCCUGACUGACCGAUAGUGAACCAGUACCGUGAGGGAAAGGCGAAAAGAACCCCGGCGAGGGGAGUGAAAAAGAACCUGAAACCGUGUACGUACAAGCAGUGGGGAGCACGCUUAGGCGUGUGACUGCGUACCUUUUGUAUAAUGGGUCAGCGACUUAUAUUCUGUAGCAAGGUUAACCGAAUAGGGGAGCCGAAGGGAAACCGAGUCUUAACUGGGCGUUAAGUUGCAGGGUAUAGACCCGAAACCCGGUGAUCUAGCCAUGGGCAGGUUGAAGGUUGGGUAACACUAACUGGAGGACCGAACCGACUAAUGUUGAAAAAUUAGCGGAUGACUUGUGGCUGGGGGUGAAAGGCCAAUCAAACCGGGAGAUAGCUGGUUCUCCCCGAAAGCUAUUUAGGUAGCGCCUCGUGAAUUCAUCUCCGGGGGUAGAGCACUGUUUCGGCAAGGGGGUCAUCCCGACUUACCAACCCGAUGCAAACUGCGAAUACCGGAGAAUGUUAUCACGGGAGACACACGGCGGGUGCUAACGUCCGUCGUGAAGAGGGAAACAACCCAGACCGCCAGCUAAGGUCCCAAAGUCAUGGUUAAGUGGGAAACGAUGUGGGAAGGCCCAGACAGCCAGGAUGUUGGCUUAGAAGCAGCCAUCAUUUAAAGAAAGCGUAAUAGCUCACUGGUCGAGUCGGCCUGCGCGGAAGAUGUAACGGGGCUAAACCAUGCACCGAAGCUGCGGCAGCGACGCUGAUGCGUUGUUGGGUAGGGGAGCGUUCUGUAAGCCUGCGAAGGUGUGCUGUGAGGCAUGCUGGAGGUAUCAGAAGUGCGAAUGCUGACAUAAGUAACGAUAAAGCGGGUGAAAAGCCCGCUCGCCGGAAGACCAAGGGUUCCUGUCCAACGUUAAUCGGGGCAGGGUGAGUCGACCCCUAAGGCGAGGCCGAAAGGCGUAGUCGAUGGGAAACAGGUUAAUAUUCCUGUACUUGGUGUUACUGCGAAGGGGGGACGGAGAAGGCUAUGUUGGCCGGGCGACGGUUGUCCCGGUUUAAGCGUGUAGGCUGGUUUUCCAGGCAAAUCCGGAAAAUCAAGGCUGAGGCGUGAUGACGAGGCACUACGGUGCUGAAGCAACAAAUGCCCUGCUUCCAGGAAAAGCCUCUAAGCAUCAGGUAACAUCAAAUCGUACCCCAAACCGACACAGGUGGUCAGGUAGAGAAUACCAAGGCGCUUGAGAGAACUCGGGUGAAGGAACUAGGCAAAAUGGUGCCGUAACUUCGGGAGAAGGCACGCUGAUAUGUAGGUGAAGUCCCUCGCGGAUGGAGCUGAAAUCAGUCGAAGAUACCAGCUGGCUGCAACUGUUUAUUAAAAACACAGCACUGUGCAAACACGAAAGUGGACGUAUACGGUGUGACGCCUGCCCGGUGCCGGAAGGUUAAUUGAUGGGGUUAGCCGCAAGGCGAAGCUCUUGAUCGAAGCCCCGGUAAACGGCGGCCGUAACUAUAACGGUCCUAAGGUAGCGAAAUUCCUUGUCGGGUAAGUUCCGACCUGCACGAAUGGCGUAAUGAUGGCCAGGCUGUCUCCACCCGAGACUCAGUGAAAUUGAACUCGCUGUGAAGAUGCAGUGUACCCGCGGCAAGACGGAAAGACCCCGUGAACCUUUACUAUAGCUUGACACUGAACAUUGAGCCUUGAUGUGUAGGAUAGGUGGGAGGCUUUGAAGUGUGGACGCCAGUCUGCAUGGAGCCGACCUUGAAAUACCACCCUUUAAUGUUUGAUGUUCUAACGUGGACCCGUGAUCCGGGUUGCGGACAGUGUCUGGUGGGUAGUUUGACUGGGGCGGUCUCCUCCUAAAGAGUAACGGAGGAGCACGAAGGUUGGCUAAUCCUGGUCGGACAUCAGGAGGUUAGUGCAAUGGCAUAAGCCAGCUUGACUGCGAGCGUGACGGCGCGAGCAGGUGCGAAAGCAGGUCAUAGUGAUCCGGUGGUUCUGAAUGGAAGGGCCAUCGCUCAACGGAUAAAAGGUACUCCGGGGAUAACAGGCUGAUACCGCCCAAGAGUUCAUAUCGACGGCGGUGUUUGGCACCUCGAUGUCGGCUCAUCACAUCCUGGGGCUGAAGUAGGUCCCAAGGGUAUGGCUGUUCGCCAUUUAAAGUGGUACGCGAGCUGGGUUUAGAACGUCGUGAGACAGUUCGGUCCCUAUCUGCCGUGGGCGCUGGAGAACUGAGGGGGGCUGCUCCUAGUACGAGAGGACCGGAGUGGACGCAUCACUGGUGUUCGGGUUGUCAUGCCAAUGGCACUGCCCGGUAGCUAAAUGCGGAAGAGAUAAGUGCUGAAAGCAUCUAAGCACGAAACUUGCCCCGAGAUGAGUUCUCCCUGACCCUUUAAGGGUCCUGAAGGAACGUUGAAGACGACGACGUUGAUAGGCCGGGUGUGUAAGCGCAGCGAUGCGUUGAGCUAACCGGUACUAAUGAACCGUGAGGCUUAACCUU
RNAcentral lists this ribosomal RNA (2905 nucleotides) under Escherichia coli. Its description in RNAcentral is "bacterial LSU rRNA". It matches the Rfam family "Bacterial large subunit ribosomal RNA". The record is from RNAcentral. Lineage: Bacteria; Pseudomonadati; Pseudomonadota; Gammaproteobacteria; Enterobacterales; Enterobacteriaceae.